This 4171-nucleotide long non-coding RNA is filed under the name Canis lupus familiaris (dog). RNAcentral's name for it is "lncRNA (ENSCAFG00845006176.1)". The record is from RNAcentral. Lineage: Eukaryota; Metazoa; Chordata; Mammalia; Carnivora; Canidae.
UUUGUAUGGAGCAGCUUGUAAUAUUAUCUCUUAAUUUAGAACUUAAGUUAUUUUUGUCAACAAAUCAGGCAGUUGUCCAAAAAAGAAAAAAAAAAAAAAAAGAAGGCUAACUGAUGUUGGUUUAGACUGUACUCUAAACAAAACAGUUCUAAGUUAGAAGCAGGAGGGGAGGACAUCUGCCAGACUGAACUGGGAAAGAGAACAUAUCAUAGAAGAAUGAGACAUUCCCUGCAUUUUUGUUGCCAAAAAUCUCAGCUCAACCUUUUAAGGCCCACACAAUUACCUCUGUAAUCUGCAUUAAGAAGCAAACUCAGAAAUGGAGCACAUAGCAAAAAAUUGCAGUAUAUUUACUUCUGUUGCUCCAUUACCUCCUAGAAUUUCUGUGGACUUUUUAAAAAAUUUUAUUUAUCUAUUCAUGAGAAACAGAGACAGAGAGAGGCAGACACACAGGCAGAGGGAGAAGCAGCUCCAUGCAGGGAGCUUGAUGUGGGACUCAAUCCUGGGUCCCCAGGAUCACACCCUGGGCUGAAGGCGGCACUAAACCGCUGAGCCACCGGGGCUGCCCAAUUUCUGUGGAUAUUAAAAUGACUGGAAAAGGCUAGAACGCACUUGAGUUAUAUACUGGGUGAAAGGCUAAACACCACAAUUCCAACCCCAUUCCAACUGGAGUCCUGCUAAGAAGAAACAGGAAUAAAAAUUAAAGAGUAAAAAGGAGGGUUAUAAUAUAUAAGUUAUUAAAGUUUUUAUUAUGGUAAUGCCAUUUGUGUAACUAGUUAUAGACUUUAGAUAAGCCCAGACUUUCAUGUUUUCAGCCAUUAACCCAGGAGAGGCUCCUUCUGUUAACCAAAAACCAAAACUCUUUAGCUGAAAAAAAUUUAAGUGCUCUAUACUUACGGCAUAUAAAGGAUUUUGAAGGAAAAAAGUUUUAGAACUGUUGGAUUGCUUCUGGAAAUUUCCAAUGAUAAAACUGAGACCUAAAAGUCAUCUUGCUCAUUCCAUUCUCAAUGUAGACAUUUCUUCAAUGCUACUAAAAUGAUUUAGCCUCCAUGCGUACUUUUCCCACAAAAUGCUGAUUAUUCUAAUUAUCGGACAAACCUGUUGGAGAAUUAAUUUAUACAGAAUCACUGGCAAGUGUAUACUGCACCUCCCUGUUAAGUUCUGCCCCACAGAACAGGGGCAGACAUAACCCAUCCUCAGGAAUACAGAGUGACUAAUCCUGUUUCUUGGCAACACUUUAAUUAAAGGCUUUAAUCAUAUCUCCCAUCUUUUAGGAAAAUAGGUAACAGAGUCUAUGCUGCUUGACGUCUUACUGUUGCUUUUAUAGCACCACCAUGGGCAGUGAGAAGGCAACUAUUUUUAAAUAUGAAAGUUACCUUUCAGAAAAAUACACAUAAAACACUGUGAGAGGGCACAUUAGAGGGUUUCUGAUACUUCGAAUCCCAUAGAGCAACCUGUACAACUAGGGAAAGUGCUUUAGAAGCUGCUGAAUGAAUGACAGAAAGCCAAAGGCUUGGGUAUAGACCAUGUGCCAGUAGGGUGUGAGUUAAAGAAGAUGCUAUUUCUUCCAGGUAGACUUGAAGAAUCAGCCUGAGAGGGGCACAAAUUAAGAGGAUUUAUGUAACCCUACCGAUAUGCGAUUACCACUGGGUGAGGGGCAGAGUAGUUCUCUUGGCAUCUUAGUUUGCCUUGCUUGCAAUGUCCCUGAUUAAAGAGGCAGACAUCACAUUGCUGGGAAAACACUGAUGAGCCACUAACCCUGUUUACAGUAGAGGGAAAAAUCACUGCUUGGUCAAAAACAUGCAAUAAUGAAAAACUUCAGGAAUUUCUUCUCCUAAGAUUAGAAUUUAUUACAUUUAUUUUUAUUUUUUUAAGACCUGGGGUAGGCUCUUCACGUUUAAACAAACUCUGGACUAGUCUUUUAGUUACUUCAGCAAGCUAAGGGCAUCUGGAAGGACAUCUCAGUCAUUUGAGUUGACAUUAGAGAGAAACUGGUCAUUCAGGAGCCCAGAUUCUGACAGUCAUAGGAGGAGCAGGACCACUGCUAGAGCAGAGGCAGCACUCCUGUCGUCUAAGUUUCCUAGAACAUUGGUUCACAGCCUGCUUUGCAGUCCUGUCACCCAUGACAGCUAAUGUUCACCUGCAGCCUCGCUCUAACUACACCUUUUCAUUCAAGAAAAGUUCGUCAGAAUUUGAGUGAAAGGAGAGGACAGUCACAAGAUAACCUGUAUGAGUGGAUACAUUUGAAAGGUUAGGGGUCACAAGCUAGCUGCAAAUCAGUCACUGCGCACCCCUCAAAUGAUUCUGCUGCUCUGGCAUGUGGCAGCAUUAGCAUUCAGACCUGCUGCUCUAUAGAGCAAUCGGUAGUUUCCAUUGAGUCAAGAUUCCUUGUUUACUGAGAUGGUUUCAAAACAGAAUAGCUCUUCUCCUCCUGAGUAUUUCUUACACUGUCCCUCCUACUAUGGAGGAAGUGAAUCUGGCUCAAGUCAGAGUAAGCAACAUCACUCUUGUUACUCUAACAAACAUUUCAUGAAAGCAGCUUUUUAUUAGAGUAGCAUAAUCCUCCUUGGUUCCUGGAGGGAUCACAGAUUCACAGAAUGUUACAGCUGGAAAGGGCUUAAGAGCAUCUAGCAGAAUGCCCUCAUUUCAUAAAUGAGAAAAUCAGGCUGAGAAGACACUUGCCCCUGAUUGCACAGCCAGUAAGGAGCAGAGCUGGGAACAAAAUCAGGUCUCCUGAUUCCAAGUCAGUCCUGUACAGAUUACAGUACAACCUAGUAAGGAAGAAGAGGAACCACAAGUUGAGAAGAUAGGAAAAUAGUGAUAUUUAAGAAGUUCAAAGUAAAAAUAAACAGAGGCCGACAGUUUAAAAAAGCAAAGAGCGAAUGGCUUGGUGGUACAAAACAGCUAAAGCGAUGCGACUGCCUAUGGGAGAAAAAGCUAAGAUUGAAAACUAGUAUGCAAUUCAACUUUCUGGCAAAAAGGAAAGAUAUGUGAGUCUAGAGCCCCUGAAAUGCACAAUAACUAAGAAAAAGAUAUUUUCAUUUAAAUGAUGCAAGUUAUCCAGUAUGCGACUGGUACUCACUAAAUUGAGAGGACAGAAUCUGAUAGCCUAGGUAAGGAAAUCUGAAAGCACAAAGAAAAAAAAGAACUUCAGUCCUUUACAUUCUAGGAGAGUAUUAAAUCCUUUGUUUACAUAAAGCUUUUCCUAUCAGAAAUUCAAGAGAACUUUUUGGCUGAAAUAAUCACUUGUAUAAAACAAGGAAAACACUAAAGCUUUAGAGUAUAAGCAUUUGUGCACAUUUGACUUACUCCCAAAAGCACUCUUCCCUUCUUAAGAUACACUGUGCCUUGGUAGAAGAGAUAUAAAAAAAUAAAAAAAUAAAAAAAUUAACAGAAAAGUAGCAAUCUUUGGUUUCCUCAUCAACUAAGUACUUUGCUGAAAGAAGAUAUUCCCAAAGGAAAUUUUCCUUUGUCCAUGUGCACAUGACUAUGACAAGACUGCUAGGCUUUUGAGUCUUUUUAUGCUAGAAAAGUAAUAUUAUCUGGCACUUGUAAACAGAUGGUAAAUGACUAAAUGUAUGAACUUUUAGUUAUGAAGAAAGUGGUUAAUUACACCAAGACUGUGUGUUUAUGUGUAUGAAAUCACUAAGUAUCCUGCCUCUAUACAUAUACUCCUUAACAAACACAUUUUUAAAACUUUAAACAAAGUUUUUAGGUUCACUAAACCACGUUAUACAAAUUCUGUGGUCUGAGAAGCUGUUGUCAAUAUUAUAACUGGAUAUUAUAUAUAAUUUUGGCAUAUCAAAAAUAUUUACAAUGCAUCGACAUAUGGUGAAUGAAUACAAAAAUUAUUUAUAAAUGUACAUAUAUUUACAAUGGGAUCCCUGGGUGACAGGGAUAAAAAAAAAAAUAAUCAUUCACAAGAAUACAAAACCCCUUAAUGUGGUAACAGUUGAUCAAGCCCAGAAUUCUUGUCAAAGACCUUGAAUAUCAAAGCGCCAGUCUCAAUUAGAUGCUUAAAACCACUGAAGAAUCCCAGACACACUUCCCAGAGGGCUCCAGAGUUAUUUCUGUUCCUUGGAAGACACUAGAACAGUGAUGUUUUCUCAGAAUCAUUCUGCAGGUUGAGACAACCCAGCAUGUUAAGCAGCAAUAAAGACUCUCCCUAAUAGGC